GAUGAACGCUGGCGGCGUGCCUAAUACAUGCAAGUCGAGCGAACGGACGAGAAGCUUGCUUCUCUGAUGUUAGCGGCGGACGGGUGAGUAACACGUGGAUAACCUACCUAUAAGACUGGGAUAACUUCGGGAAACCGGAGCUAAUACCGGAUAAUAUUUUGAACCGCAUGGUUCAAAAGUGAAAGACGGUCUUGCUGUCACUUAUAGAUGGAUCCGCGCUGCAUUAGCUAGUUGGUAAGGUAACGGCUUACCAAGGCAACGAUGCAUAGCCGACCUGAGAGGGUGAUCGGCCACACUGGAACUGAGACACGGUCCAGACUCCUACGGGAGGCAGCAGUAGGGAAUCUUCCGCAAUGGGCGAAAGCCUGACGGAGCAACGCCGCGUGAGUGAUGAAGGUCUUCGGAUCGUAAAACUCUGUUAUUAGGGAAGAACAUAUGUGUAAGUAACUGUGCACAUCUUGACGGUACCUAAUCAGAAAGCCACGGCUAACUACGUGCCAGCAGCCGCGGUAAUACGUAGGUGGCAAGCGUUAUCCGGAAUUAUUGGGCGUAAAGCGCGCGUAGCGGUUUUUUAAGUCUGAUGUGAAAGCCCACGGCUCAACCGUGGAGGGUCAUUGGAAACUGGAAAACUUGAGUGCAGAAGAGGAAAGUGGAAUUCCAUGUGUAGCGGUGAAAUGCUCAGAGAUAUGGAGGAACACCAGUGGCGAAGGCGACUUUCUGGUCUGUAACUGACGCUGAUGUGCGAAAGCGUGGGGAUCAAACAGGAUUAGAUACCCUGGUAGUCCACGCCGUAAACGAUGAGUGCUAAGUGUUAGGGGGUUUCCGCCCCUUAGUGCUGCAGCUAACGCAUUAAGCACUCCGCCUGGGGAGUACGACCGCAAGGUUGAAACUCAAAGGAAUUGACGGGGACCCGCACAAGCGGUGGAGCAUGUGGUUUAAUUCGAAGCAACGCGAAGAACCUUACCAAAUCUUGACAUCCUUUGACAACUCUAGAGAUAGAGCCUUCCCCUUCGGGGGACAAAGUGACAGGUGGUGCAUGGUUGUCGUCAGCUCGUGUCGUGAGAUGUUGGGUUAAGUCCCGCAACGAGCGCAACCCUUAAGCUUAGUUGCCAUCAUUAAGUUGGGCACUCUAAGUUGACUGCCGGUGACAAACCGGAGGAAGGUGGGGAUGACGUCAAAUCAUCAUGCCCCUUAUGAUUUGGGCUACACACGUGCUACAAUGGACAAUACAAAGGGCAGCGAAACCGCGAGGUCAAGCAAAUCCCAUAAAGUUGUUCUCAGUUCGGAUUGUAGUCUGCAACUCGACUACAUGAAGCUGGAAUCGCUAGUAAUCGUAGAUCAGCAUGCUACGGUGAAUACGUUCCCGGGUCU
Molecule: ribosomal RNA, 1371 nt
Filed under: uncultured bacterium
Lineage: Bacteria
Description: bacterial SSU rRNA
Rfam family: Bacterial small subunit ribosomal RNA
Source: RNAcentral